CCUACGGGUGGCAGCAGUGGGGAAUAUUGGACAAUGGGCGAAAGCCUGAUCCAGCCAUGCCGCGUGUGUGAAGAAGGCCUUCGGGUUGUAAAGCACUUUCAGUGGGGAAGAAAGCCUUGGGGCUAAUACCCUCGAGGAAGGACAUCACCCACAGAAGAAGCACCGGCUAACUCCGUGCCAGCAGCCGCGGUAAUACGGAGGGUGCGAGCGUUAAUCGGAAUUACUGGGUGUAAAGCGCGCGUAGGCGGUCUGAUAAGCCGGUUGUGAAAGCCCCGGGCUCAACCUGGGAACGGCAUCCGGAACUGUCAGGCUAGAGUGCAGGAGAGGAAGGUAGAAUUCCCGGUGUAGCGGUGAAAUGCGUAGAGAUCGGGAGGAAUACCAGUGGCGAAGGCGGCCUUCUGGACUGACACUGACGCUGAGGUGCGAAAGCGUGGGUAGCAAACAGGAUUAGAUACCCCUGUAGUC
Molecule: ribosomal RNA, 465 nt
Filed under: Vreelandella stevensii
Lineage: Bacteria; Pseudomonadati; Pseudomonadota; Gammaproteobacteria; Oceanospirillales; Halomonadaceae
Description: partial 16S ribosomal RNA
Rfam family: Bacterial small subunit ribosomal RNA
Source: RNAcentral